UGCAGUCUUCAACAAAAUCCCAAGAAUAGCAGCAUUUCAUGGAAGUCUAUCUGAGUUGCGGACUUACCGACAACUGUUUUCCGUAUGAUUGAAGAACUAAAGAAGGAAUUGCGUUGCUGUUUUGGCCGAACCAGUUGUUGUAUACUAUUCACAAUAUGAGACCGUGAUGUGCAAUCAUCCCCGGGCAUUCUAAAUAAACGCGCGCAGAUACUUUUAGAUAGCGGAAAAAUCCUUCUUGUCUUACACCGCGAGAGGAUCUUCUGCGACAAAAUUUUGAGCACGUUCAAAGCAAACUAGAGAGCCAUUCACUCAAGAAGUGCAACAGAACCUCUCAUGCGAUCGCAAGUUUCACACAGUUCUCUGAGCAAUAGAAACACGGCAACCUACGAAAGCACGAACAGGACGCCUCCGUUGACAUCGCCUACUGGAAUAAUAAUCUACUCUUGCACGAAAGUUUCAAUAGCAACGAGAACACGAUUCGAAAUGACAUAAGCUGUGGAAGCAGUACGAGUGAGCCACGAUAACGGAGUAGUACUUCAAGGAAUGCAUUGAACCUCUUCCGACGUAGCAGGGUUAUAUGCGCGCACCCCGCAAGUGAUCAAGGACUCUGAUAUUCGAGGAGACGUAAUACACAUCCGAGAGUUGAAU
RNAcentral lists this long non-coding RNA (648 nucleotides) under Physcomitrium patens. RNAcentral describes it as "long non-coding RNA (PPAT_LNC003372)". Lineage: Eukaryota; Viridiplantae; Streptophyta; Bryopsida; Funariales; Funariaceae. The record is from RNAcentral.